RNAcentral lists this ribosomal RNA (428 nucleotides) under uncultured Bacillota bacterium. RNAcentral's name for it is "bacterial SSU rRNA". It matches the Rfam family "Bacterial small subunit ribosomal RNA", at positions 958 to 1385 of the family's 1533-position model. The record is from RNAcentral. Lineage: Bacteria; Bacillati; Bacillota.
AACGCGAAGAACCUUACCAGGUCUUGACAUCCCCCUGAAUAGUUUAGAGAUAAGCUAGGCCUUCGGGACAGGGGAGACAGGUGGUGCAUGGUUGUCGUCAGCUCGUGUCGUGAGAUGUUGGGUUAAGUCCCGCAACGAGCGCAACCCUUGAUGUUAGUUGCCAGCGAGUAAGGUCGGGCACUCUAACGUGACUGCCGGUGACAAACCGGAGGAAGGUGGGGAUGACGUCAAAUCAUCAUGCCCCUUAUGACCUGGGCUACACACGUACUACAAUGGCCGGUACAACGGGAAGCGAAAGAGCGAUCUGGAGCGAAUCCUUAGAAGCCGGUCUCAGUUCGGAUUGCAGGCUGCAACUCGCCUGCAUGAAGUCGGAAUUGCUAGUAAUCGCGGAUCAGCAUGCCGCGGUGAAUACGUUCCCGGGCCUUGUA